Molecule: small RNA, 75 nt
Filed under: Arabidopsis thaliana (thale cress)
Lineage: Eukaryota; Viridiplantae; Streptophyta; Magnoliopsida; Brassicales; Brassicaceae
Description: ATSL257170
Source: RNAcentral
UUUUAAAAAAUAAAUUGUUCUCGCGGUGUACCGCGGGUUAAAAUUUAGUAUGAUUGUAAAUUACAAAACUUACCA